CAUUGAGAAUAUUUAUAUGAAAUUCACAGAAGAAAUUAAGAAUAUAUAUAAAAUGUGCGAAGAAAAUAAUAAAUUGGACAACGUUUGUGGAAUUACUUUACUACCAUGGACUACGAUGUUUUUAACAUUUUCGGCAACCAUAAUAACGUGCUUCUUUAUAAUCGAUCCAAUAACAAGAGGAAUUUGUUAUGUCAUUCGACGCUGUUUCGGAUGUAUCAUAAUGUCAAAUUCGUAUAAUCAUACAGGCAAGUUCUCUCAAUCAAAAUCGGCUUCUGAUAAGUAUUACGUACUGUCUGAUGAUCUGUUCAAUUAAAAACUACCGCCUAAAUCAUGAACUUUUGAUCAAUGUUAUUUUAAACUGAUGCAGUACACUUAUUCACACAUUGUCAAGAUAUAUUGGAUAUUCUACGACAAAUAACUAGUUUAUAAGCAUAUUCUUUUGGUAGAUUUAUAAUGUAAUAAUAAAAAAACUUUUCCUUUUUGGAACCAAACCA
This is a non-coding RNA of Linepithema humile (Argentine ant), 494 nucleotides long. Lineage: Eukaryota; Metazoa; Arthropoda; Insecta; Hymenoptera; Formicidae. The record is from RefSeq and is a predicted model, not a curated record.